RNAcentral lists this ribosomal RNA (449 nucleotides) under uncultured bacterium. RNAcentral describes it as "bacterial SSU rRNA". It matches the Rfam family "Bacterial small subunit ribosomal RNA", at positions 355 to 796 of the family's 1533-position model. The record is from RNAcentral.
UGGGGAAUCUUGCGCAAUGCGCGAAAGCGUGACGCAGCAACGCCGCGUGGGGGAAGAAGGCCUUCGGGUUGUAAACCCCUUUCAGUUGGGACGAAGCUCCGUCGGUGAACAGCCGGCUGGAGUGACGGUACCUUCACAAGAAGCACCGGCUAACUACGUGCCAGCAGCCGCGGUAAUACGUAGGGUGCAAGCGUUGUCCGGAAUCAUUGGGCGUAAAGAGCGUGUAGGCGGCUCAAUCAGUCCGCUGUAAAAGUCCAGGGCUCAACCCUGGAAAGCCGGUGGAUACUGUUGGGCUAGAGUCCGGAAGGGGCGAGUGGAAUUCCUGGUGUAGCGGUGAAAUGCGCAGAUAUCAGGAGGAACACCUAUGGCGAAGGCAGCUCGCUGGGACGGUACUGACGCUGAGACGCGAAAGCGUGGGGAGCAAACAGGAUUAGAUACCCCCGUAGUCC